GACGACGCGGCGUCCGAGGACGACGCGGACGAACCCGAGCGCGACGACACGAGACGCGCGUUCGCGGCCGCGAUGACGCUCGUGGACGUGUACCGCGCGGAGCCGAUAUGGUGCUUCCCCCCGCCGAAGCGCGCGAAGAAAGAGGAGCGCGACGCCAUCUACGUCGUCGAAUCCGGAGAGGUGGAUGUCGAGGUGGAGAGAAAGGCGCGUUCUAUACACUGGUCCCCAUACGACCGCGUCGGCGUGGUGAACGCCGAUCCUUAAGGACUUUUGCCGGCUCAUCUCUCCGCCCACCCCCCGCUUUCAAUCCCCGCCCUCGACGCCUUUCAACUUCAACUGACGCCUUUCAACUCCACCCCGACAUCGCUUUGUAUGGAACGAACCAAAGGGCGCCGCCGCGCCGUUCCCGGUCGCGAUGACGCUCCGAAGAGGCGCCGUCAUCGGGUCGUACGCGUCCGGGUUCGCGACGUCCGGGAAGAUGUUCGACGAGCCGCUGGAUAAGGACGUCAUCUUAGCGUUCGUCGCGCUGACGGACGCGAAGCUGUGGCGGAUAGACGGGAUCACGAUGGGCGCGCCGAACUUCAGGCGCGGAGCCCCGUUCGUUCUCCUCACACUGGCCCUCAUACGACCGCGUUCGCGUUGUGAACUUCAUUCCUUGAGGACUUUCUCUCCCGGCGUUCGUUCGUUUCUCUCCGCCCAUCACCCAUCGCUUUCAAUCCCGACGCGCCCGCCUCGACGCCUUUCAACUCCGCUUCUGACGCCUUUCAACGCCACCCCGACGUCGGUUCGUACGGGCAAACACCCUCAGGAAGAUGAUGGCCGCCGUCGCGGAGCGCCGCCGGAGCUGGGACGCGCUGAUGGACGGCGUCCACCUCAUGAAGGCGCUCACGCGCGUGCAGCGGCAGCAGCUGUCGUGCCUUCUCGAGACGAAGGAGUGCGAGGUCGGGGAGG
RNAcentral lists this long non-coding RNA (951 nucleotides) under Micromonas pusilla. RNAcentral's name for it is "long non-coding RNA (MPUS_LNC000149)". Lineage: Eukaryota; Viridiplantae; Chlorophyta; Mamiellophyceae; Mamiellales; Mamiellaceae. The record is from RNAcentral.